AGAGUUUGAUCAUGGCUCAGAAUGAACGCUGGCGGCGUGCUUAACACAUGCAAGUCGGACGAGAAAUCAUUAAGCUUGCUAAUGAGAGUAAAGUGGCGAACGGGUGAGUAACGCGUGGGUAAUCUACCUCUGAAUCGGGGAUAACAUUGCGAAAGCGAUGCUAAUACUGGAUAACAUCUUAGGGUUUUUGGAUUUUAGGAUCAAAGGUGGCCUCUACAAGUAAGCUACUGUUUGGAGAUGAGCCCGCGUACCAUUAGUUAGUUGGUAGGGUAAUGGCCUACCAAGGCUACGAUGGUUAGCUGGUCUGAGAGGAUGAUCAGCCACACUGGAACUGAUACACGGUCCAGACUCCUACGGGAGGCAGCAGUGAGGAAUUUUGCGCAAUGGGGGGAACCCUGACGCAGCAACGCCGUGUGAGUGAUGAAGGCCUUCGGGUCGUAAAGCUCUGUCAAGUGGGAAGAAUAUAUUUGGUGAUAAUAUUAUCAAGUAUUGACGGUACUGUUGGAGGAAGCACCGGCUAACUCCGUGCCAGCAGCCGCGGUAAUACGGAGGGUGCGAGCGUUAUUCGGAAUUAUUGGGCGUAAAGGGCGCGUAGGCGGUUUUUAAAGUCAGAUGUGAAAUCCCAGGGCUUAACCCUGGAAGUGCAUUUGAAACUUAGGGACUUGAGUAUGGGAGAGGGAAGUGGAAUUCCUGGUGUAGAGGUGAAAUUCGUAGAUAUCAGGAGGAACACCGGUGGCGAAGGCGACUUUCUGGACCGAUACUGACGCUGAGGCGCGAAGGCGUGGGGAGCAAACAGGAUUAGAUACCCUGGUAGUCCACGCAGUAAACGGUGAACACUAGGUGUAGCGGGUAUUUACCCCUGCUGUGCCGAAACUAACGCAUUAAGUGUUCCGCCUGGGGAGUACGGCCGCAAGGUUAAAACUCAAAUGAAUUGACGG
RNAcentral lists this ribosomal RNA (938 nucleotides) under uncultured bacterium. Its description in RNAcentral is "bacterial SSU rRNA". It matches the Rfam family "Bacterial small subunit ribosomal RNA", at positions 8 to 916 of the family's 1533-position model. The record is from RNAcentral.